UAGGGAAUAUUCCACAAUGGGCGAAAGCUUGAUGGAGCGACACAGCGUGCACGAUGAAGGCCCUCGGGUUGUAAAGUGCUGUUGCAAGGGAAGAACAGUUAGUUGAGGAAAUGCUUCUAAUCUGACGGUACCUUGUUAGAAAGCGAUGGCUAACUAUGUGCCAGCAGCCGCGGUAAUACAUAGGUCGCAAGCGUUAUCCGGAAUUAUUGGGCGUAAAGCGUUCGUAGGCUGUUUAUUAAGUCUGGAGUCAAAUCCCAGGGCUCAACCCUGGCUCGCUUUGGAUACUGGUAAACUAGAGUUAGAUAGAGGUAAGCGGAAUUCCAUGUGGAGCGGUGAAAUGCGUAGAUAUAUGGAAGAACACCAAAGGCGAAGGCAGCUUACUGGGUCUAUACUGACGCUGAGGGACGAAAGCGUGGGGAGCAAACAGGAUUAGAUACCCUGGUAGUCCACGCUGUAAACGAUGAUCAUUAGUCGGUGGAAAACUACUGACGCAGCUAACGCAUUAAAUGAUCCGCCUGAGUAGUAUGCUCGCAGAGAGUG
This 540-nucleotide ribosomal RNA is filed under the name uncultured bacterium. Its description in RNAcentral is "bacterial SSU rRNA". It matches the Rfam family "Bacterial small subunit ribosomal RNA", at positions 355 to 896 of the family's 1533-position model. The record is from RNAcentral.